Molecule: unclassified non-coding RNA, 322 nt
Filed under: Hevea brasiliensis (rubber tree)
Lineage: Eukaryota; Viridiplantae; Streptophyta; Magnoliopsida; Malpighiales; Euphorbiaceae
Source: RNAcentral
UCUGCAUCCAUUGUUUUCAAAGAUAACAAAGCCUACUCACAGAAACUUGUCCAUGGUGCUAAAACUCUCUAUAAAUUCGCAAGGGAAGAGCGAGGUAGAUAUAGUGCAGGUAGUUCAGAAGCUGCCAUUUUCUAUAAUUCAACUAGCUACUGGGAUGAGUUUAUAUGGGGUGCAACUUGGCUCUACUAUGCUACUGGGAAUUCUUCUUAUCUUCAGCUUGCUACUACUCCUGGUUUGGCCAAGCAUGCUGGUGCUUUCUGGGGAGGGCCAUACUAUGGUGUGCUUAGCUGGGAUAACAAGCUCACUGGUUGUCAGGUGCUUU